UAGGGAAUCUUCGGCAAUGGACGAAAGUCUGACCGAGCAACGCCGCGUGAGUGAAGAAGGUUUUCGGAUCGUAAAACUCUGUUGUUAGAGAAGAACAAGGACGUUAGUAACUGAACGUCCCCUGACGGUAUCUAACCAGAAAGCCACGGCUAACUACGUGCCAGCAGCCGCGGUAAUACGUAGGUGGCAAGCGUUGUCCGGAUUUAUUGGGCGUAAAGCGAGCGCAGGCGGUUUCUUAAGUCUGAUGUGAAAGCCCCCGGCUCAACCGGGGAGGGUCAUUGGAAACUGGGAGACUUGAGUGCAGAAGAGGAGAGUGGAAUUCCAUGUGUAGCGGUGAAAUGCGUAGAUAUAUGGAGGAACACCAGUGGCGAAGGCGGCUCUGUGGUCUGUAACUGACGAUGAGGCUCGAAAGCGUGGGGAGCAAACAGG
RNAcentral lists this ribosomal RNA (429 nucleotides) under Gemmatimonadota bacterium. RNAcentral describes it as "Gemmatimonadetes bacterium partial 16S ribosomal RNA". It matches the Rfam family "Bacterial small subunit ribosomal RNA", at positions 355 to 776 of the family's 1533-position model. The record is from RNAcentral. Lineage: Bacteria; Pseudomonadati; Gemmatimonadota.